CCUACGGGCGGCUACAGUGAGGAAUAUUGGUCAAUGGACGAGAGUCUGAACCAGCCAAGUAGCGUGAAGGAUGACUGCCCUAUGGGUUGUAAACUUCUUUUAUAAAGGAAUAAAACGAGGCACGUGUGCCUUUUUGCAUGUACUUUAUGAAUAAGGAUCGGCUAACUCCGUGCCAGCAGCCGCGGUAAUACGGAGGAUCCGAGCGUUAUCCGGAUUUAUUGGGUUUAAAGGGAGCGUAGAUGGGUUGUUAAGUCAGUUGUGAAAGUUUGCGGCUCAACCGUAAAAUUGCAAUUGAUACUGGCAGUCGUGAGUACAGUUGAGGUAGGCGGAAUGCGUGGUGUAGCGGUGAAAUGCUUAGAUAUCACGAAGAACCCCGAUUGCGAAGGCAGCUUACUAAACUGUGACUGACAUUGAUGCUCGAAAGUGUGGGUAUCAAACAGGAUUAGAUACCCGAGUAGUC
This 460-nucleotide ribosomal RNA is filed under the name uncultured bacterium. Its description in RNAcentral is "partial 16S ribosomal RNA". It matches the Rfam family "Bacterial small subunit ribosomal RNA", at positions 338 to 795 of the family's 1533-position model. The record is from RNAcentral.